CUUGCCCCAGCUAUGGGGAGGUCCCGUCUGUGGUGUUCCAUGCAGGCUGCCCGUGCUCUGUCCUGGGCAGUGGGCGGGCGUGGACGUGGGAGGUGGUGAGGGGCGUGGGCGGCGGGGUAGCUGCUGGUCUGCUCCUCCGCAGAAGUCCAUGCACCCGCGCCAGCAAUGAAGAGUGACCUGGCCCUCGCGGGAGCGCUGCUCGGCCUGGCCCUCCUGUCACUGCCACCGCCCGCACGCCCCCAACUGGCCGCAGAAGACGCCUGCUCCGUGCAGAUCCUGGUGCCCGGCCUCAAAGACAGGAUCUCACUAUGUAGCCCAGGCUGGCCUUGAACUUGCAAGGAUUCUCCUGCCUCAGCCUCCUAAGUGCUGGGAUUACAGGCUUGCAUCACCACACCCACCACAUACUCUUCAAUUUUAGAACAAAAUUUUCUUUUUA
Molecule: long non-coding RNA, 436 nt
Filed under: Heterocephalus glaber (naked mole-rat)
Lineage: Eukaryota; Metazoa; Chordata; Mammalia; Rodentia; Bathyergidae
Description: lncRNA (ENSHGLG00100033511.1)
Source: RNAcentral